This 119-nucleotide ribosomal RNA is filed under the name Sinocyclocheilus rhinocerous. The record is from RNAcentral. Lineage: Eukaryota; Metazoa; Chordata; Actinopteri; Cypriniformes; Cyprinidae.
ACUUGCAGCCAUAUCACCCUGCAGCCCAAGACUAGUUGCCCACUGAAGCUAAGCAGGGUUGAGCCUGGUCAGUACCUGGAUGGGAUACCUCCUGGGAAAAAACUAGGUUGCUGCUGGAA